CCGCGUCCCAUUAGCUAGUUGGUAGGGUAAUGGCCUACCAAGGCGACGAUGGGUAGCCGGCCUGAGAGGGUGGCCGGCCACACUGGGACUGAGACACGGCCCAGACUCCUACGGAAGGCAGCAG
Molecule: ribosomal RNA, 124 nt
Filed under: uncultured bacterium
Lineage: Bacteria
Description: partial 16S ribosomal RNA
Rfam family: Bacterial small subunit ribosomal RNA
Source: RNAcentral